Equus quagga is the source of this 1741-nucleotide non-coding RNA. The record is from the annotation of a RefSeq genome assembly. Lineage: Eukaryota; Metazoa; Chordata; Mammalia; Perissodactyla; Equidae.
UGUGGGGUCUCCAGGAAAGAUGGGAAGGAGCGGCCGGAGGACGGUUUCAGGCCCCUCCGGGGAACACUGACUCAGAUAGUCAGCUUCUGUGUGGCCAUGGAGACAAGAGAGGUCUCCGGGUGGCCUUGGGACGAUGCCGGGCCAGGCCCCAGGGUUUUUGUGGGGUGAGGAUGGGAGACGCCACCAUUGUGAUUAUUAUAAUGCUAUGGACCCCUGGGGCCAGGGCACCCUGGUCACCGUCUCCUCAGAGAGUACGAAGACCCCAGAUCUCUUCCCCCUCGUCUCCUGUGGGCCCUCUCUUGAUGAGAGCCUGGUGGCUGUGGGCUGCCUAGCCCGGGACUUCCUACCCAACGUCAUCACCUUCUCCUGGAACUACCAGAACGACACUGUAGUCAGAUCCCAGGACAUCAAGAACUUCCCGUCGGUCCUGAGAGAGGGCAAGUACACGGCCAGCUCCCAGGUGCUCCUGUCCUCCAGGGACGUCCCCCUGGUAUGCACUGUCAACCACUCCAACGGCAACAAGAAAGUGGAAGUGUGGCCCCUAGUAUCCAUCCAAGACGAGUCCCCAAAUGUGACCGUCUUCAUCCCGCCACGCGAUGCCUUCACCGGCCCUGGCCAGCGCACAUCCAGGCUCGUCUGCCAGGCCACGGACUUCAGCCCCAAGGAGAUCUCUGUGUCCUGGCUGCGUGAUGGAAAACCCGUGGAGUCAGGCUUCACCACGGAAGAGGUGCAGCCCCAGAACAAAGAGUCCCGGCCGGUGACCUACAAAGUCACCAGCAUGCUGACCAUCACUGAGAGCGACUGGCUCAACCAGAAGGUGUUCACUUGCCAUGUGGAACACCAACAGGAGGUCUUCCAGAAGAACGUGUCAUCCAUGUGCAGCACCAAUCCACCUGCCCCCAUCAAAAUCUUCGCCAUCCCUCCCUCCUUUGCUGGCAUCUUCCUCACCAAGUCGGCCAAGCUGUCCUGCCAAGUCACAAACCUGGGCACCUAUGACAGCCUGAGUAUCUCCUGGACCCGCCAGAAUGGUGAGAUUCUGAAAACCCACACCAACAUCUCUGAGAGCCACCCCAACGGCACCUUCAGCGCCCUGGGCGAGGCCACCAUCUGCGUGGAAGACUGGGAGUCGGGCGACGACUACAUAUGCACAGUGACCCACACAGACCUGCCCUUCCCGCUGAAGCAGGCCAUCUCCAGGCCCGACGCAGUUGCCAAGCACCCGCCCUCCGUCUACGUGCUGCCACCCACCCGGGAGCAGCUGAGCCUGCGGGAGUCGGCCUCAGUCACCUGCCUGGUGAAGGGCUUCUCACCCCCGGACGUGUUCGUGCAGUGGCUGCAGAAGGGGCAGCCCCUGUCCUCCGACAAGUAUGUGACCAGCGCCCCGAUGCCUGAACCCCAGGCCCCAGGCUUGUACUUCGUCCACAGCAUCUUGACCGUGAGCGAGGAGGACUGGAGCUCUGGGGAGACAUACACCUGCGUCGUGGGCCAUGAGGCCCUGCCCCACGUGGUGACCGAGAGGACCGUGGACAAGUCCACUGGUAAACCCACCCUGUACAACGUGUCCCUGGUCAUGUCUGACAUGGCCAGCACCUGCUACUGACCUGGUCCACCCUGCGCAGGGGUACCUGGAGUCUCUGGGGGACCCAUCGCUCUGUGUGUGCAUGCAUGCAGACUAACCAUGUCAAUGGGGUGAGGUGUUGCAUUUUAUAAAAAUUAGAAAUAAAAAGAUCCAUUCAAAAGA